AUACGGAGGGUGCAAGCGUUAAUCGGAAUUACUGGGCGUAAAGGGCGCGUAGGCGGUCUAUCAAGUCAGGUGUGAAAUCCCACGGCUCAACCGUGGAGGUGCAUCUGAAACUGAUAGACUUGAGUAUGGGAGAGGAAAGUGGAAUUCCCGGUGUAGAGGUGAAAUUCGUAGAUAUCGGGAGGAACACCAGUGGCGAAGGCGACUUUCUGGACCAAUACUGACGCUGAGGCGCGAAAGCGUGGGGAGCAAACAGGAUUAGAUACCCUUGUAGUCC
RNAcentral lists this ribosomal RNA (274 nucleotides) under uncultured bacterium. Its description in RNAcentral is "partial 16S ribosomal RNA". It matches the Rfam family "Bacterial small subunit ribosomal RNA", at positions 523 to 796 of the family's 1533-position model. The record is from RNAcentral.